RNAcentral lists this long non-coding RNA (265 nucleotides) under Elaeis guineensis (African oil palm). Its description in RNAcentral is "long non-coding RNA (EGUI_LNC001166)". The record is from RNAcentral. Lineage: Eukaryota; Viridiplantae; Streptophyta; Magnoliopsida; Arecales; Arecaceae.
AAAUGCCAGUCCCUCUCCAAUCACCAUCAGCGGUCCUCGUUGCAUUUAAGACGCCAAGUUUCUCGAGUUUCACGUGCCGUGGUCCCUAAAUAAUGCACCUAAGACGCGGCAACACCAGAACCUGAGCCAAAACACUAACCCAAUGAAAAAGUGCACUGAAAGAACCAGGAGUGGAUCCGGGAUGCUGGUGUUUGCCGUGAUUUGUGGGUUUCAUCGGGUGUUUGCUUUUGCCGGUCUUUAGAGGAGAUAUUUUACAUUUCAUGGU